UACGAAGGGUGCAAGCGUUACUCGGAAUUACUGGGCGUAAAGCGUGCGUAGGUGGUUUUUUAAGUCCGUUGUGAAAGCCCUGGGCUCAACCUGGGAAUGGCAGUGGAUACUGGAAAGCUAGAGUGCGGUAGAGGGUAGUGGAAUUCCCCGGUGUAGCAGUGAAAUGCGUAGAGAUCGGGAAGAACACCAGUGGCGAAGGCGGCUCACUGGACUGGUAUUGACGCUGAGGUGCGAAAAGCGUGGGGGAGCAAACAGGG
RNAcentral lists this ribosomal RNA (257 nucleotides) under uncultured bacterium. RNAcentral describes it as "partial 16S ribosomal RNA". It matches the Rfam family "Bacterial small subunit ribosomal RNA", at positions 524 to 777 of the family's 1533-position model. The record is from RNAcentral.